AUUGAACGCUGGCGGAAUGCUUUACACAUGCAAGUCGAACGGCAGCACGGAGAGCUUGCUCUCUGGUGGCGAGUGGCGAACGGGUGAGUAAUAUAUCGGAACGUGUCCAAUAAUGGGGGAUAACGAGUCGAAAGAUUCGCUAAUACCGCAUACGCCCUACGGGGGAAAGCAGGGGAUCGUAAGACCUUGCGUUAAUGGAGCGGCCGAUAUCUGAUUAGCUUGUUGGUGAGGUAAAGGCUCACCAAGGCGACGAUCAGUAGCUGGUUUGAGAGAACGACCAGCCACACUGGAACUGAGACACGGUCCAGACUCCUACGGGAGGCAGCAGUGGGGAAUUUUGGACAAUGGGGGGCAACCCUGAUCCAGCCAUUCCGCGUGAGUGAAGAAGGCCUGGUUGUAAGACUCUUUCGUCAAGGAAGAAAACUUAUGAUCGAAUAAAUACAUGAGG
RNAcentral lists this ribosomal RNA (448 nucleotides) under uncultured bacterium. Its description in RNAcentral is "bacterial SSU rRNA". It matches the Rfam family "Bacterial small subunit ribosomal RNA", at positions 30 to 474 of the family's 1533-position model. The record is from RNAcentral.